AGUAAAGUGGCGCACGGGUGAGUAACACGUGACUAACCUACCCUUGAGUGGGGAUAACCUCGGGAAACCGGGGCUAAUACCGCAUAAUAUCGAGAGAUCAAAGGAGCAAUUCGCUUAAGGAGGGGGUCGCGGCUGAUUAGCUAGUUGGUGAGGUAACGGCUCACCAAGGCUAUGAUCAGUAUCCGGCCUGAGAGGGCGCACGGACACACUGGAACUGAAACACGGUCCAG
This 230-nucleotide ribosomal RNA is filed under the name uncultured bacterium. RNAcentral describes it as "partial 16S ribosomal RNA". It matches the Rfam family "Bacterial small subunit ribosomal RNA", at positions 89 to 334 of the family's 1533-position model. The record is from RNAcentral.